This 821-nucleotide long non-coding RNA is filed under the name Zostera marina. RNAcentral describes it as "long non-coding RNA (ZMAR_LNC002324)". Lineage: Eukaryota; Viridiplantae; Streptophyta; Magnoliopsida; Alismatales; Zosteraceae. The record is from RNAcentral.
GUGAAUUGUGAUGUUGUUCUACCAGGAAACAUGGAACUCUCCAUUCAUCUUCUUACUUCGAUCGUGUAUCCCCACUAUACUUUGAAAUAGAAAGAAGAGUUAUCCUGUCAAAAUUCAAAACAUUUAAAUUAAAAGAUCAGGAAACGGGUCAAACCCAACAACCCAAGUAAAGAACCAAUUAAAUUAAAAGAAAAGGCAGUUGAAAGAUCGAAUAUAUAAAAAAAAGGAGAGGCAGUGAAAGAAAUUACCGGAAAAGAUUUUCCUUUGGCAUUUAUGGUUUUUCUGCUUUCUGAUUCUCUGCAGUUUGAUCUUGGUGUUCAAGUUUUUUUAUUUCGACUUUGGUAAUCUUCUUUUUCCGUUUCAGGUAUUAUGUUCCGGUCAGAAUUACUCAGUUCUCAUUAAAUUCUGUUUCCGUUUCUGUUAAAUCUGUAGACGGAUGACCGCCGGUGUGAGCGAGUGCCUGACUGAAGUGAAUUGAGCCGGAGAGCCGCUCAAUUCGUAGCACAGCAAUGUGGGAAGAAAGGGGACGGAUUCUAAGGUUUUUCGAACUAACUGCUGUCCUAGAAUCCGAUGAAGAGCGAUUAGUUGAAUUAACAGUGUAUAUAUUUUCAUUGAUUUAAUCAUUGGUUUACAUUAUCUUAUUUAUAAUACAGUUAGACUAAUUACAGUUAUUACAACAAUAUUAUCUUAUAACUAUAUUUAUAAUACUAUAACAAUAUAAGUAUUAUUCAGUCUGGUCCGUAGCCUAUUUCCAACGUCGGCCCAACUGCAAUAUUAAAACAUUUGUGUCAUUUACCCAAAGCUUCUUUGAUAUUACGAAC